ACUCACCGCCGGCAGCUGAAAAAAUCUCGUCCGUGACACUUUCCAUGUAAACCUCAGAAAAUCUACAGUUCUUCCUCACUUGAAAAAUGCUAACUUGUUGAUCAAAAGAGAAGGCUAAGCAAUGCAAAAGCCACACGCGCCGCCCCAUCUCGCUAAAAACCUUGAAGAACUCUGUUUCCGGGAAUUCGCCGGAGUUCACAAGCUUUCUCUGAUUCAAAUUCCCGGAGAAUGAAAACUCCAUUUUUGGAUGAACAGAGAAGGCUAAGCAAUGCAAAAGCCACACACGCCGCCCCAUCUCGCUAAAAACCUUGAAGAACUCUGAUUCCGGGGACUCGCCGGAGUUCACAAGCUUCCUCUGAUUCAAGUUCCCGGAGAAUGAAAACUCC
RNAcentral lists this long non-coding RNA (386 nucleotides) under Nicotiana benthamiana. Its description in RNAcentral is "long non-coding RNA (NBEN_LNC003716)". Lineage: Eukaryota; Viridiplantae; Streptophyta; Magnoliopsida; Solanales; Solanaceae. The record is from RNAcentral.